Molecule: transfer RNA, 70 nt
Filed under: Dipodomys ordii (Ord's kangaroo rat)
Lineage: Eukaryota; Metazoa; Chordata; Mammalia; Rodentia; Heteromyidae
Rfam family: tRNA
About the family: Transfer RNA (tRNA) molecules are approximately 80 nucleotides in length.
Source: Rfam by way of RNAcentral
GGCAAUGUGGCUCAGUGGUAGAGUGCUUGCCUUACAUGCAUAAAGCCCUAGGUUCGAUUCCUCAGUAUCA